Molecule: ribosomal RNA, 480 nt
Filed under: Blastocystis sp.
Lineage: Eukaryota; Bigyra; Opalinata; Blastocystidae
Description: SSU rRNA
Rfam family: Eukaryotic small subunit ribosomal RNA
Source: RNAcentral
GGAGGUAGUGACAAUAAAUCACAAUGCGGGACUAUUCGUCUUGCAAUUGGAUUGAGAACAAUGUACAACUCUUAUCGAUAAGCCAUUGGAGGGCAAGUCUGGUGCCAGCAGCCGCGGUAAUUCCAGCUCCAAUAGCGUAUAUUAACGUUGUUGCAGUUAAAAAGCUCGUAGUUGAAGUGUGGGUGGUGCCAUCUGUGGAGCUUCGGCUUUUCAGAUGAUCACUACCCCCUUCCAGUAUCCAGUAGUGGGUAUUCAGUUACUUACUAUUGUGUGUUGGUCGUUUACUGUGAGAAAAUUAGAGUGUUCAAAGCAGGCGUUUGCUUGAAUAGAUUAGCAUGGAAUAAUAAUUGAAGGCUUUCGUGUUCGAUUUGAUUGGUUUGUUCAUGGAAGCAAGGUUAAAAGGAACAGUUGGGGGUAUUCAUAUUCACUAGUUAGAGGUGAAAUUCUCGGAUUUAUGGAAGAUGAACAAGUGCGAAAGCA